Molecule: ribosomal RNA, 851 nt
Filed under: uncultured marine group I thaumarchaeote
Lineage: Archaea; Thermoproteati; Nitrososphaerota
Description: SSU rRNA
Rfam family: Archaeal small subunit ribosomal RNA
Source: RNAcentral
GCUAUCGGAUGAUACUAAGCCAUGCGAGUCUUGUAGUAAUACAAGGCAUACGGCUCAGUAACACGUAGUCAACCUACCCUAUGGACAAGAAUAAUCUCGGGAAACUGGGCAUAAUUCUUGAUAGAUCAUAAUGCCUGGAAUGGUUUAUGGUUAAAAUGAUUCGUCGCCAUAGGAUGGGACUGCGGCCUAUCAGCUUGUUGGUGAGGUAAUGGCCCACCAAGGCGAUUACAGGUACGGGCUCUGAGAGGAGAAGCCCGGAGAUGGGUACUGAGACACGGACCCAGGCCCUAUGGGGCGCAGCAGGCGAGAAAACUUUGCAAUGUGCGAAAGCACGACAAGGUUAAUCCGAGUGAUUUCUGCUAAAGAAAUCUUUUGCCAGUCAUAAAACCACUGGUGAAUAAGGGGUGGGCAAGUUCUGGUGUCAGCCGCCGCGGUAAAACCAGCACCUCAAGUGGUCAGGAUGAUUAUUGGGCCUAAAGCAUCCGUAGCCGGCUUUGUAAGUUUUCGGUUAAAUCCAUGUGCUCAACGCAUGGGCUGCCGAAAAUACUGCAUGGCUAGGGAGUGGGAGAGGUAGACGGUACUCAGUAGGAAGGGGUAAAAUCCUUUGAUCUAUUGAUGACCACCUGUGGCGAAGGCGGUCUACCAGAACACGUUCGACGGUGAGGGAUGAAAGCUGGGGGAGCAAACCGGAUUAGAUACCCGGGUAGUCCCAGCUGUAAACGAUGCAGACUCGAUGAUGCAUUGGCAUAAUAGCCAGUGCAGUGUCGCAGGGAAGCCGUUAAGUCUGCCGCCUGGGAAGUACGUACGCAAGUAUGAAACUUAAAGGAAUUGGCGGGGGAGCACCACAAGGG